This 315-nucleotide unclassified non-coding RNA is filed under the name Hevea brasiliensis (rubber tree). Lineage: Eukaryota; Viridiplantae; Streptophyta; Magnoliopsida; Malpighiales; Euphorbiaceae. The record is from RNAcentral.
AAAACUCUGUCUCAAAUGUGUGAUUAAUGGCAAUAGCAACUUAAAUUAAUCUCUAGGGUUGAUUUGACAUGUUUGGAUCAUAAAAUCUCCAAAUCAACUAAGAGAAAGAUCCAGACUACUUUUUGCAAUAUCAUCUGAAGAGGUUCAUUUAUGAAAAAGUAAUUUCAAUCUCAAUUCCAAAAUCACAUUCAUUUUACAUAGCAUAAUCUGGUUGAUUUGCAAUAUUAUGUGAGUUCAGUCUGGGUGGUGUUUAAUAUUGACUAAGCAUUAUUUCUUGUUAUUAUUUUUAUCCUUAAGUUGUUACCUGGCCCUGGG